Molecule: ribosomal RNA, 29 nt
Filed under: Channa maculata (blotched snakehead)
Lineage: Eukaryota; Metazoa; Chordata; Actinopteri; Anabantiformes; Channidae
Description: partial 18S ribosomal RNA
Source: RNAcentral
CCGUAGGUGAACCUGCGGAAGGAUCGUUA